GAGGGUGUGUCAGGUACGGCCGAGCUGCGCCUGUCCACGCUGCCCCGGCAGCGCGCUCCUCCGGGAGGAGCCCCAAAACUGCCCUCCCGGAGCCUCCGAGGGCUCGGCUGCUGGGCGGGAGCGGAGAGGGGCGCAGGUCGCCAACGGGCCGCCCUGCCUUAGCCGCAGGUUCUCAAGGGCGUUGGUGGCUCCACCAGCUCGCCCGCCCGACCUCUCGCCGCCCCAGACCCGUUGUCGGCAACAGAAUCAGAACACAUGGGUGACAAAUUUCCAAGCGAGACAACAGAGCAGAGUGCUGUUAAACACUUUCUCACCCUUGAAGUGAUCACACAAGUUCCAACAAGCGGCAGCCUUGUGGCUGCCUGCUUGCUGGGCUCCUCCUUGCCUCCCUCCAUCUCCUGUCUUUGGAGCUCGUAAUCCUCUCUCAGCCUCUGAGAGGCCGGAGCAUCUUGGCCUUUACCUCGUCCUCUGGAAAGUCUUAAUAAGCGACUCUAGCGAUGUCUGUCCUGCUUCUGUUUUGCUGUUAGUCUUUACAACCACAAAGCAGACCACUUGGUCGUGCUGCUCCCAAACCCCUGUGCUUUGAAUCUUCCAGAUGGCUGAGUGUCAGGAAGGGAGGGGGUGCUGAGAACCUCUCUUCCUCAGGAGUCAAGCUGUUUCACUCUUUUUCUCCUACAUUGGCUGGAAGUAACCUUGUUGGAAAUCUCAGCGGUAGAAAAUGCUUUCACCAAGGGGUCUUGAGGACUGCAUUGUUCUGAUAAGUUUUGGAACUGUGAAGGAAAUUGAACCCACAUUCAUCUAAACCCAGCAGAAGAGUUUUUCAAGUGAUGUAAUGCAUUUGUUUAGAGUCAAGGCCUUGCACCUGGAACUUGCUUUAUAAAUCAAGCUGAUCUGGAACUCAUCAAUACCCACCUGCCUCUGCCUCUCAUUGCUGGGAUUAAAAGCAUGUGACACCAUG
Molecule: long non-coding RNA, 958 nt
Filed under: Mus caroli (Ryukyu mouse)
Lineage: Eukaryota; Metazoa; Chordata; Mammalia; Rodentia; Muridae
Description: lncRNA (MGP_CAROLIEiJ_G0004656.1)
Source: RNAcentral